UUGACCUCGGAUCAGGUAGGGAUACCCGCUGAACUUAAGCAUAUCAAUAAGCGGAGGAAAAGAAACCAACAGGGAUUGCCCCAGUAACGGCGAGUGAAGCGGCAAGAGCUCAAAUUUGAAAGCUGGCUCCUUCGGGGUCCGCAUUGUAAUUUGUAGAGGAUGCUUCGGGAGCGGUCCCCAUCUAAGUGCCCUGGAACGGGACGUCAUAGAGGGUGAGAAUCCCGUAUGGGAUGGGGUGUCCGCGCCCGUGUGAAGCUCCUUCGACGAGUCGAGUUGUUUGGGAAUGCAGCUCUAAAUGGGUGGUAAAUUUCAUCUAAAGCUAAAUAUUGGCCGGAGACCGAUAGCGCACAAGUAGAGUGAUCGAAAGAUGAAAAGCACUUUGAAAAGAGAGUUAAAAAGCACGUGAAAUUGUUGAAAGGGAAGCGCUUGCGACCAGACUCGCUCGCGGGGUUCAGCCGGCAUUCGUGCCGGUGUACUUCCCCGCGGGCGGGCCAGCGUCGGUUUGGGCGGUCGGUCAAAGGCCCUCGGAAGGUAACGCCCCUAGGGGCGUCUUAUAGCCGAGGGUGCAAUGCGACCUGCCUAGACCGAGGAACGCGCUUCGGCUCGGACGCUGGCAUAAU
Molecule: ribosomal RNA, 620 nt
Filed under: Penicillium dipodomyicola
Lineage: Eukaryota; Fungi; Ascomycota; Eurotiomycetes; Eurotiales; Aspergillaceae
Description: eukaryotic LSU rRNA
Rfam family: Eukaryotic large subunit ribosomal RNA
Source: RNAcentral